Molecule: ribosomal RNA, 253 nt
Filed under: uncultured bacterium
Lineage: Bacteria
Description: partial 16S ribosomal RNA
Rfam family: Bacterial small subunit ribosomal RNA
Source: RNAcentral
UACGGGGGGGGCAAGCGUUGUUCGGAAUUACUGGGCGUAAAGGGCUCGUAGGGGGCCAAUUAAGUCAGACGUGAAAUCCCCAAGCUUAACUUGGGAACUGCGUCUGAUACGGAGUGGCUUGAAUUCGGGAGAGGGAUGCAGAAUUCCAGGUGUAGCGGUGAAAUGCGUAGAUAUCUGGAGGAAUACCGGUGGCGAAGGCGGCAUCCUGGACCGAGAUUGACACUGAGGAGCGAAAGCCAGGGGAGCAAACGGG